GAAGUUUUCAGAGAUGAGAAUGUGCCUUCGGGAACCGUGAGACAGGUGCUGCAUGGCUGUCGUCAGCUCGUGUUGUGAAAUGUUGGGUUAAGUCCCGCAACGAGCGCAACCCUUAUCCUUUGUUGCCAGCGAUUAGGUCGGGAACUCAAAGGAGACUGCCAGUGAUAAACUGGAGGAAGGUGGGGAUGACGUCAAGUCAUCAUGGCCCUUACGACCAGGGCUACACACGUGCUACAAUGGCGCAUACAAAGAGAAGCGACCUCGCGAGAGCAAGCGGACCUCAUAAAGUGCGUCGUAGUCCGGAUUGGAGUCUGCAACUCGACUCCAUGAAGUCGGAAUCGCUAGUAAUCGUGGAUCAGAAUGCCACGGUGAAUACGUUCCCGGGCCUUGUACACACCGCCCGUCACACCAUGGGAGUGGGUUGCAAAAGAAGUAGGUAGCUUAACCUUCGGGAGGGCGCUUACCACUUUGUGAUUCAUGACUGGGGUGAAGUCGUAACAAGGUAACCGUAGGGGAACCUGCGGUUGGAUCACCUCCUUACCUGAAAGAAGC
RNAcentral lists this ribosomal RNA (552 nucleotides) under Salmonella enterica. Its description in RNAcentral is "bacterial SSU rRNA". It matches the Rfam family "Bacterial small subunit ribosomal RNA", at positions 993 to 1533 of the family's 1533-position model. The record is from RNAcentral. Lineage: Bacteria; Pseudomonadati; Pseudomonadota; Gammaproteobacteria; Enterobacterales; Enterobacteriaceae. RNAcentral also lists the same sequence under 1 other name.